ACAUGGCCUGGUUGGUAGGGCGUCGGAUUGAUUCCUAGGAGUGCACGAGUUCGAACCCUGGCAU
This 64-nucleotide transfer RNA is filed under the name Pyramimonas parkeae. Lineage: Eukaryota; Viridiplantae; Chlorophyta; Pyramimonadophyceae; Pyramimonadales; Pyramimonadaceae. The record is from RNAcentral.